This 364-nucleotide ribosomal RNA is filed under the name uncultured bacterium. Its description in RNAcentral is "bacterial SSU rRNA". It matches the Rfam family "Bacterial small subunit ribosomal RNA", at positions 355 to 735 of the family's 1533-position model. The record is from RNAcentral.
UGGGGAAUAUUGGACAAUGGGCGCAAGCCUGAUCCAGCCAUGCCGCGUGAGUGAUGAAGGCCCUAGGGUUGUAAAGCUCUUUUAACGGGGAAGAUAAUGACGGUACCCGUAGAAUAAGCCCCGGCUAACUUCGUGCCAGCAGCCGCGGUAAUACGAAGGGGGCUAGCGUUGCUCGGAAUCACUGGGCGUAAAGGGUGCGUAGGUGGAUUUUUUAAGUCAGGGGUGAAAUCCUGGAGCUCAACUCCAGAACUGCCUUUGAUACUGGGAAUCUUGAGUUCGGGAGAGGUGAGUGGAACUGCGAGUGUAGAGGUGAAAUUCGUAGAUAUUCGCAAGAACACCAGUGGCGAAGGCGGCUCACUGGCCC